AACGAACGCUGGCGGCAGGCCUAAAACAUGCAAGUCGAACGGCAGCGGGGGGAGCUUGCUCCCUGCCGGCGAGUGGCGAACGGGUGAGUAACGCGUAGGGAUCUGCCUGUUAGAGGGGGAUAAGUCGUGGAAACGCGGUCUAAUACCGCAUACGCUCUAAGGAGGAAAGUAUGGGACCGAAAGGCCAUACGCUAACAGAUGAACCCGCGUUAGAUUAGCUAGUUGGUAGGGUAAAGGCCUACCAAGGCGACGAUCUAUAGCUGGUCUGAGAGGAUGACCAGCCACACUGGAACUGAGAUACGGACCAGACUCCUACGGGAGGCAGGAGUGGGGAAUAUUGGACAAUGGGGGCAACCCUGAUCCAGCGAUGCCGCGUGUGUGAAGAAGGCCUGAGGGUUGUAAAGCACUUUAGUUGGGGAGGAAAGCCUGAGGAUGAAUAAGCCUUAGGGGAGACGUUACCCAAAGAAUAAGCACCGGCUAACUCUGUGCCAGCCGCCGCAGUAA
This 504-nucleotide ribosomal RNA is filed under the name uncultured bacterium. RNAcentral describes it as "partial 16S ribosomal RNA". It matches the Rfam family "Bacterial small subunit ribosomal RNA", at positions 29 to 523 of the family's 1533-position model. The record is from RNAcentral.